RNAcentral lists this ribosomal RNA (563 nucleotides) under uncultured bacterium. RNAcentral describes it as "bacterial SSU rRNA". It matches the Rfam family "Bacterial small subunit ribosomal RNA", at positions 338 to 916 of the family's 1533-position model. The record is from RNAcentral.
CCUACGGGAGGCAGCAGUGGGGAAUCUUGCGCAAUGGGCGAAAGCCUGACGCAGCAACGCCGCGUGCGGGAAGAAGGCCUUCGGGUUGUAAACCGCUUUCAGCAGGAACGAAAAUGACGGUACCUGCAGAAGAAGGUGCGGCCAACUAUGUGCCAGCAGCCGCGGUGAUACAUAGGCACCAAGCGUUGUCCGGAUUUAUUGGGCGUAAAGAGCUCGUAGGCGGUUCAGUCAGUCGGGUGUGAAAACUCUGGGCUUAACCCAGAGCCUGCACCCGAUACUGCUGUGACUAGAGUUCGGUAGGGGAGCGGGGAAUUCCUGGUGUAGCGGUGAAAUGCGCAGAUAUCAGGAGGAACACCGAUGGCGAAGGCACCGCUCUGGGCCGAAACUGACGCUGAGGAGCGAAAGCAUGGGUAGCAAACAGGAUUAGAUACCCUGGUAGUCCAUGCCGUAAACGUUGGGCACUAGGUGUGGGUUCCAAUCAACGGAAUCCGCGCCGUCGCUAACGCAUUAAGUGCCCCGCCUGGGGAGUACGGUCGCAAGCUAAAACNCAAAGGAAUUGACGG